UGGUUUAAGCCUGUAUAAUUCUUGCUAAUU
RNAcentral lists this non-coding RNA (30 nucleotides) under Rattus norvegicus (Norway rat). The record is from RNAcentral. Lineage: Eukaryota; Metazoa; Chordata; Mammalia; Rodentia; Muridae.